CCUACGGGAGGCAGCAGUGAGGAAUAUUGGUCAAUGGGCGCGAGCCUGAACCAGCCAAGUAGCGUGAAGGAUGACUGCCCUACGGGUUGUAAACUUCUUUUAUCAAGGAAUAAAGUGAGGCACGUGUGCCUUUUUGUAUGUAAUUUAUGAAUAAGGAUCGGCUAACUCCGUGCCAGCAGCCGCGGUAAUAAGGAGGAUCCGAGCGUUAUCCGGAUUUAUUGGGUUUAAAGGGAGCGGAGAUGGGUUGUUAAGUCAGUUGUGAAAGUUUGCGGAUCAACCGUAAAAUUGCAAUUGAUACUGGGAGUCUUGAGUACAGUUGAGGUAGGCGGAAUGCGUGGUGUAGCGGUGAAAUGCUUAGAUAUCACGAAGAACUCCGAUUGCGAAGGCAGCUUACUAAACUGCCACUGACAUUGAUGCUCGAAAGUGUGGGGAUCAAACAGGAUUAGAUACCCUGGUAGUC
This 460-nucleotide ribosomal RNA is filed under the name uncultured bacterium. RNAcentral describes it as "partial 16S ribosomal RNA". It matches the Rfam family "Bacterial small subunit ribosomal RNA", at positions 338 to 795 of the family's 1533-position model. The record is from RNAcentral.